This 864-nucleotide ribosomal RNA is filed under the name Psathyrella valdiviana. Its description in RNAcentral is "partial large subunit ribosomal RNA". The record is from RNAcentral. Lineage: Eukaryota; Fungi; Basidiomycota; Agaricomycetes; Agaricales; Psathyrellaceae.
CCCUAGUAACUGCGAGUGAAGCGGGAAAAGCUCAAAUUUAAAAUCUGGCGGUCUUUGGCCGUCCGAGUUGUAAUCUAGAGAAGUGUUACCCGCGUCGGACCGUGUACAAGUCUCCUGGAAUGGAGCGUCAUAGAGGGUGAGAAUCCCGUCUUUGACACGGACUACCGAGGCUUUGUGGUGCGCUCUCAAAGAGUCGAGUUGUUUGGGAAUGCAGCUCAAAAUGGGUGGUAAAUUCCAUCUAAAGCUAAAUAUUGGCGAGAGACCGAUAGCGAACAAGUACCGUGAGGGAAAGAUGAAAAGAACUUUGGAAAGAGAGUUAAACAGUACGUGAAAUUGCUGAAAGGGAAACGCUUGAAGUCAGUCGCGUUGUCCGGGAAUCAGCCUUCCUUCUGGUUGGUGUACUUCCUGGUUGACGGGCCAGCAUCAGUUUUGACCGGUGGAAAAAGUUCGAGGGAAUGUGGCACCUCCGGGUGUGUUAUAGCCCUCGUUCGUAUACAUCGGUUGGGACUGAGGAACUCAGCACGCCGCAAGGCCGGGAUUCGUCCACGUUCGUGCUUAGGAUGCUGGCAUAAUGGCUUUAAUCGACCCGUCUUGAAACACGGACCAAGGAGUCUAACAUGCCUGCGAGUGUUUGGGUGGAAAACCCGAGCGCGUAAUGAAAGUGAAAGUUGAGAUCCCUGUCAUGGGGAGCAUCGWCGCCCGGWCCAGACGUUUUCUGACGGUUCUGCGKUAGAGCAUGUAUGUUGGGACCCGAAAGAUGGUGAACUAUGCCUGAAUAGGGUGAAGCCAGAGGAAACUCUGGUGGAGGCUCGYAGCGAUUCUGACGUGCAAAUCGAUCGUCAAAUUUGGGUAUAGGGGCGAAAG